Molecule: long non-coding RNA, 720 nt
Organism: Peromyscus leucopus (white-footed mouse)
Lineage: Eukaryota; Metazoa; Chordata; Mammalia; Rodentia; Cricetidae
Exons: 2
Source: RefSeq, a predicted model, not a curated record
AAGAAUGGAGGAAACCUACAUAGACAUGGAUGCUUGAAGAAUCGUCCAGCAGGGCUUCCCAACACUGUGUGACUGUGGCCAGAUGCACGCCUGUGUGCACACAUCCAGGGCAGCCUCAGUGUGGUCAUUUCUUCAAACAUUUCUUCUUCUCCUCAGGCAGAGGACAUAUGGAACCCACGUCAUUCCUGGAAAGUGAAAGAAGAAUGUCCCAGUGGCCAACUUGGAUGUGAUUCCAUGCUGUUCUGAGAAAUUCUGCUCCGAUUUUGAAUUCCCACCCAAACUUAUGCAGUAGAAUCACACCCAGGAAGCUCCCCAAGCUGCCCUUCCCACAAAACAGCCCAGCACUGUGUUUUGUUGUCCUAGCAGGAUUUUGUUCCUACUCCUUCUCCUUCUCAUGAUGAAAUGACCCAUCUGUCUAAUUCUGACUUUUUUACCUGCUCAGAAGUGACAAAGUGUUCUCCUCUUCAGGCCAGAGGACAGACCAUCAGAUGUGUGGGAGGAAAACCAGCCCAAUCACUGGCUCCUGUCAUAUUUCAUAGAGGACACCGCCUUGGGAAAUUGCCGUCUCUUUGGAUUUCUUCACGAUGCACAAACGUUCACAAUCUUGGCAUUUCCAUUUGCGUGCUUCAAUCUCUGCAACCCUUGUUUACGCCCUGGAAGAUGUUCAAUUAGUAUUUACUCAAUAAAUGAGUGAGGAUGUAUCUUACAUCUUCCCACACA